AAUUACCUGCCUUGUGCGUGAUAGGUGGAGAACUUGAACCUUCAAUUAGAUUUAGCAGGGAGCCAGAGUAAGGCAAUUGUGAGCAACCCGACCUGUCGGGAAAUGCCUAAUUUUGUCUUCAAGGCGCCCACCUGUAAAAAUAGGGAUUCAAGAUGCCCGUCUACACGACAAGGUGGGUCUUAU
This 183-nucleotide non-coding RNA is filed under the name Nitrospirota bacterium. Its description in RNAcentral is "Nitrospirae bacterium (marine metagenome) 6S RNA". It matches the Rfam family "6S / SsrS RNA". From Rfam's summary of the family: E. coli 6S RNA was the first non coding RNA to be sequenced, but its function was unknown until recently. It consists of 184 nucleotides that fold into an extended hairpin structure with a large single-stranded internal bulge. Lineage: Bacteria; Pseudomonadati; Nitrospirota. The record is from RNAcentral.